CACAUACUCCCUCCGUCCGGAAUUACUUGACGCAAAAAUGGAUAGAAAUGGAUGUAUCUAGAACUAAAAUACAUCUAGAUACAUCCGUUUCUUCGACAAGUAUUUUCGGACUGAGGGAGUAUUUA
Molecule: non-coding RNA, 125 nt
Organism: Hordeum vulgare subsp. vulgare (domesticated barley)
Lineage: Eukaryota; Viridiplantae; Streptophyta; Magnoliopsida; Poales; Poaceae
Source: Rfam